GCGUCCAUUGUCUAAUGGAUAGGACAAAGGUCCUCUAAAUCUUUGGUAUAGGUUCAAAUCCUAUUGGACGCA
Molecule: transfer RNA, 72 nt
Filed under: Burmannia cryptopetala
Lineage: Eukaryota; Viridiplantae; Streptophyta; Magnoliopsida; Dioscoreales; Burmanniaceae
Description: tRNA-Arg
Rfam family: tRNA
About the family: Transfer RNA (tRNA) molecules are approximately 80 nucleotides in length.
Source: RNAcentral